This 74-nucleotide transfer RNA is filed under the name Homo sapiens (human). RNAcentral's name for it is "tRNA-Und (NNN) (tRNA-Und-NNN-1-1)". The record is from RNAcentral. Lineage: Eukaryota; Metazoa; Chordata; Mammalia; Primates; Hominidae.
GGGGAAUUAGCUCAGGCGGUGGAGCGCUCGCUUAGCUAUGCGAGAGGUAGCGAGAUCGACGCCCGCAUUCUCCA